UACGGGGGGGCAAGCGUUGUUCGGAAUUACUGGGCGUAAAGGGCUCGUAGGCGGCCAACUAAGUCAGACGUGAAAUCCCCAGGCUCAACCUGGGAACUGCGUCUGAUACUGGAUGGCUUGAAUCCGGGAGAGGGAUGCAGAAUUCCAGGUGUAGCGGUGAAAUGCGUAGAUAUCUGGAGGAACACCGGUGGCGAAGGCGGGUCUCUGGGCCGAUACUGACGCUGAGGAGCGAAAGCGUGGGGAGCAAACAGG
RNAcentral lists this ribosomal RNA (252 nucleotides) under uncultured bacterium. RNAcentral describes it as "partial 16S ribosomal RNA". It matches the Rfam family "Bacterial small subunit ribosomal RNA", at positions 524 to 776 of the family's 1533-position model. The record is from RNAcentral.